GACAGAGGAUGCAAGCGUUAUCCGGAAUGAUUGGGCGUAAAGCGUCUGUAGGUGGCUUUUUAAGUCCGCCGUCAAAUCCCAGGGCUCAACCCUGGACAGGCGGUGGAAACUACCAAGCUGGAGUACGGUAGGGGCAGGAGGGAAUUUCCGGUGGAGCGGUGAAAUGCGCAGAUAUCAGGAGGAACACCAAUGGCGAAGGCAGCUCUCUGGGUCCCUACCGACGCUGGGGUGCGAAAGCAUGGGGAGCGAACAGG
This 254-nucleotide ribosomal RNA is filed under the name uncultured bacterium. RNAcentral's name for it is "partial 16S ribosomal RNA". It matches the Rfam family "Bacterial small subunit ribosomal RNA", at positions 524 to 776 of the family's 1533-position model. The record is from RNAcentral.